UACGUAGGUGGCGAGCGUUAUCCGGAAUGAUUGGGCGUAAAGGGUGCGUAGACGGUAAUGUAAGUCUGGAGUGAAAGGCGGGGGCCCAACCCCCGGACUGCUCUGGAAACUAUGUUACUAGAGUGCAGGAGAGGUAAGCGGAAUUCCUAGUGUAGCGGUGAAAUGCGUAGAUAUUAGGAGGAACACCAGUGGCGAAGGCGGCUUACUGGACUGUAACUGACGUUGAGGCUCGAAAGCGUGGGGAGCAAACAGG
Molecule: ribosomal RNA, 253 nt
Filed under: uncultured bacterium
Lineage: Bacteria
Description: partial 16S ribosomal RNA
Rfam family: Bacterial small subunit ribosomal RNA
Source: RNAcentral